This is a non-coding RNA of Erythranthe guttata (spotted monkey flower), 144 nucleotides long. The record is from RefSeq and is a predicted model, not a curated record. NCBI's taxonomy places the organism in Eukaryota, Viridiplantae, Streptophyta, Magnoliopsida, Lamiales, Phrymaceae.
CAGGGGUACUGUUUGGCUAUUGUUAAGAGCGAGGGUAUUAACAUCAUCGGACAAAAUUUUAUGACGGGGUACCGCCUAGUCUUUGACCGUGAUGAGAUGGUUUUGGGUUGGAAAGAAUCUGACUGCUAUGAUUCCAUCUCAACG